AACGAACGCUGGCGGCAUGCCUAACACAUGCAAGUCGAACGAGACCUUCGGGUCUAGUGGCGCACGGGUGCGUAACGCGGGGGAACCUGCCCUUAGGUUCGGAAUAACUCCCCGAAAGGGGUGCUCAUACCGGAUAAUGUCUUCGGACCAAAGAUUUAUCGCCUUUGGAUGGGCCCGCGUUGGAUUAGCUAGUUGGUAGGGUAAAAGCCUACCAAGGCGACGAUCCAUAGCUGGUCUGAGAGGAUGAUCAGCCACACUGGGACUGAGACCCGGCCCAGACUCCUACGGGAGGCAGCAGUGGGGAAUAUUGGACAAUGGGCGAAAGCCUGAUCCAGCAAUGCCGCGUGAGUGAUGAAGGCCUUAGGGUUGUAAAGCUCUUUUACCCGGGAUGAUAAUGACAGUACCGGGAGAAUAAGCUCCGGCUAACUCCGUG
Molecule: ribosomal RNA, 433 nt
Filed under: uncultured bacterium
Lineage: Bacteria
Description: partial 16S ribosomal RNA
Rfam family: Bacterial small subunit ribosomal RNA
Source: RNAcentral